GGCCCAGUAGUUUAGCAAACUCAAGAUGGGACUGGAGAGGCCGGGGGCGGGGUUCCAUCCUCAUCGCUCGGAACCCCCUCAAAGGUCCACCGAGUUGUGGGUUCAAGUCCUACCUGGGCCA
RNAcentral lists this transfer RNA (121 nucleotides) under Marchantia polymorpha subsp. ruderalis. It matches the Rfam family "tRNA". Rfam says of the family: Transfer RNA (tRNA) molecules are approximately 80 nucleotides in length. Their secondary structure includes four short double-helical elements and three loops (D, anti-codon, and T loops). Lineage: Eukaryota; Viridiplantae; Streptophyta; Marchantiopsida; Marchantiales; Marchantiaceae. The record is from Rfam by way of RNAcentral.